Poecilia latipinna (sailfin molly) is the source of this 514-nucleotide long non-coding RNA. RefSeq lists it as uncharacterized. The record is from RefSeq and is a predicted model, not a curated record. NCBI's taxonomy places the organism in Eukaryota, Metazoa, Chordata, Actinopteri, Cyprinodontiformes, Poeciliidae. The transcript has 2 exons.
AUUCUCCUCUUCCGGGUAACUCCCAGUCGCAGCCAUUGGAAAGAUGAAACCCGGUGCGACUCCCGUGGCUUCCUCUGGAGAGGAUAAAAUGUUUAAAUCUAACGGAGGCCCCGUUAACUUACCGAAACACUCCUACUGGGUGGAUUUGUGGGUGUUUCUGCUUUUUGACAUCGCAUUGUUUCUCUUCGUAUAUUUCAUCGUCCCGUAAAGAGGAUCAACCCUUUGACUGACUGUUGAUGAACCAAGUGCUGCUGGUACCCUGCUGUGAGAAGGCUAACCCAGCUUUGACUGAACCACGCAGCAGCUUUCCUCAGCUCGCUCCAAAGAUUGUCACGUCUUACAGACGAGGCAUCCUGACUUCACAUCAGACUUCAGCAAGAAGCUCUUCAAUAACUAAUCAGAUGGAUUCCCUGUCGUUUCUAUCAGAUGAUAGUUUGAAGGGUUUUUUUUUUGUUUGUUUUUGCUGAGGACCUUAAAACAUCUCAACUGACUUUUAUCUUUGAGACUCAGCAAA